Molecule: transfer RNA, 70 nt
Filed under: Buceros rhinoceros silvestris
Lineage: Eukaryota; Metazoa; Chordata; Aves; Bucerotiformes; Bucerotidae
Rfam family: tRNA
About the family: Transfer RNA (tRNA) molecules are approximately 80 nucleotides in length.
Source: Rfam by way of RNAcentral
AUUCUAAUUGUUUAUAAAAAACACUGGUCUUUUAAACCAAAGACUGAAAAUCCCACCUCUUCUUAGAGUU